This 405-nucleotide ribosomal RNA is filed under the name uncultured prokaryote. RNAcentral's name for it is "bacterial SSU rRNA". It matches the Rfam family "Bacterial small subunit ribosomal RNA", at positions 355 to 774 of the family's 1533-position model. The record is from RNAcentral.
UCGAGAAUCUUCCGCAAUGGGCGAAAGCCUGACGGAGCGAUGCCGCGUGAGGGAUGAAGGUCUUCGGAUUGUAAACCUCUGUCACUGGGGACGAAAAAAAUGACGGUACCCGGAGAGGAAGCUACGGCUAACUACGUGCCAGCAGCCGCGGUAAUACGUAGGUAGCGAGCGUUGUUCGGAUUUAUUGGGCGUAAAGGGUUCGCAGGGGGUUGAUUAAGUCUGAUGUGAAACCCUACAGCUUAACUGUAGAACUGCAUUGGAUACUGGUCAACUAGAGUAUCGCAGAGGAGAGUGGAAUUCCAGGUGUAGCGGUGGAAUGCGUAGAUAUCUGGAGGAACACCAAAGGCGAAGGCAGCUCUCUGGGCGAUUACUGACCCUCAGGAACGAAAGCGUGGGUAGCAAACA